This 173-nucleotide non-coding RNA is filed under the name uncultured Mailhella sp. RNAcentral's name for it is "6S / SsrS RNA". It matches the Rfam family "6S / SsrS RNA". From Rfam's summary of the family: E. coli 6S RNA was the first non coding RNA to be sequenced, but its function was unknown until recently. It consists of 184 nucleotides that fold into an extended hairpin structure with a large single-stranded internal bulge. The record is from RNAcentral. Lineage: Bacteria; Pseudomonadati; Thermodesulfobacteriota; Desulfovibrionia; Desulfovibrionales; Desulfovibrionaceae.
UUCCCUGGAAUGUGCGUAGGGAGAUGUUGGUGCCGGCCUCACAAGCGUCAUUAGGGAGCCGAGCGCCGAAAUGGUGAGCAAGCCCGGUUGAACGGGAAGCCUGAAGUUUCGGCUAGGCGCCCACCUGAGACCCCAGGUCUCGUGCCCGCAUCUUUCCACGGCAUUCCGGGGUU